AAAAUUUGACACGUUUUUCUCUGCCUUUUGCAUUUUUCACUUAGCAGUGUAUCUUGGCACAUUUUAUAUGAGUACAUGAAGAGCAUUUUCAUCCUGCAGUAUUUUGGUGUUUGAGUUGUCGACCCUGUCUUGGGCUCACCUGUACCAUGGGGGAUUGACUCAGUUGACCCUCAGGGCCUUGCAGCUCUGACCCUGAACCAACCCAUGGGGUUUUUCCCUGAAAUGUGGGGAUCUUGACAGAACUGUCUCCCUUUCUCCAGGGCCCAAGGGGAGAUAUCACAACCUUAUAGGGUUUCUCAGUCUCCUUUGCAGUUGGAUAGGGUGCAAUUUCUGCCCUCAUCUGGCUCCUUGAAAAGGCGCAGUGGCCUCACCUGAACACUGCCUCCUGGGUCACACUGCACCCUGAGACGAGCUGAGAGGGACUCCCCACAACCUCUGACAGGCAGGGAGUGACCCCCGCCUGGCCUCCCUCAUUCUGGAAAAACAAACAGGCUGGGCUAGACUUCCACGAAGGCCCCUUUCAGCUCUGAGACCGACACCUACCACAGAGGGCCUUGCCCUUAGUAGACGCUUGAUGGACUUUGCUGCUGCCUGGCCUGGCAUUGCCAACGUCAUUGUCCAACACGUUGCUGUCCCCACUUCCUCUAACACCCCAUUUUCUUUCUUUUUUAAAAAAAAUUAACUUUUCAGUUCAGGGGUACAUGUGCAGGUUUAUUGUAUAGGUAAACUUGUGUCAUGGGGGUUUGUUGUACAGAUUAUUUCAUCACCCGGGUAUUCAGCCUAGUACCCACUCAUUAUUUUUCC
RNAcentral lists this long non-coding RNA (804 nucleotides) under Homo sapiens (human). RNAcentral describes it as "HSALNT0163968". The record is from RNAcentral. Lineage: Eukaryota; Metazoa; Chordata; Mammalia; Primates; Hominidae.